AUGAUGGCACACUCUUUGGUGUCCGCAGAUACAAAUGCAGGGUCCUGCAACAGGAGGCAGGCUGUUUACCUGAACAGGUCCAGUAUGAUCUCCAGCCUACUGGAACAAUCCAUGCCUGUUGUCAGAGGCACCUUUGGAGAAGAGUGUGAAACCGGCUUGAGUUAUCUGCUCUACUGUGUUGCUUUCCUUGUGAUGGACAAGCAGUGGCUAGAGAAGAAUGCUUCUUACAUGAACUUCAAGAGAUCUUUCCUUGUUAUGGCGGCUCUCAAGGUGAUGUUCAUAUCUAUCGGCGGAUCAUCUCUGCUUGGAGAUCCCCCUGUAGUUAAGACACACGGCCCUGUGAUUGAAUUUGCUGCAAGAGAGGUUGAUGUUACUAUCACAGGUGUGGUUAUGGGAGCCCUACUUUUGGCAGAAGUACUAGAGGCUAUAUUUUACCUGAUACUAUCAGACUGGGCCAUCGUUUUGCUUGCUUGCAGUUAUCGCCGGGAGGAACCUGCAAAUUUGUUCCACUCAUUAUUUGGUUUCUUAGAAGGUUUAACCUGGCCAGAUAUUGGAAAAGUGGAAGCUUUCUUGGCAGACAUUAAUGUGUUUGGAUAUUGGCAAAAUAAGAUUGGACAGACCUCUGUAAUUGAAGGCUGCUUGCAUGCCAAUCUUGGUUCGCUGCUCUGUUACCCUGUCGACUACAUCUUGAAUCUUCAGUUCCCAAGAAAACUCAAGAGUAAAACGUUCAAAGUAGUUCCUGGUCUGGUCAAGAGCGAGAUAGUUUCUUGUUUGCAGAUAUCUUGCAUCUGUGGUCCUCUCAACUAA
RNAcentral lists this ribosomal RNA (807 nucleotides) under Triticum aestivum (bread wheat). RNAcentral's name for it is "partial small subunit ribosomal RNA". Lineage: Eukaryota; Viridiplantae; Streptophyta; Magnoliopsida; Poales; Poaceae. The record is from RNAcentral.